RNAcentral lists this transfer RNA (68 nucleotides) under Spirosoma utsteinense. RNAcentral's name for it is "tRNA-Asp". The record is from RNAcentral. Lineage: Bacteria; Pseudomonadati; Bacteroidota; Cytophagia; Cytophagales; Cytophagaceae.
AGCAAUAAAAGUCAAAGUACUGCCUGUCACGCAGGGGGUCGCGGGUUCGAGUCCCGUCCGGACCGCCA